GUCUCCUGUUAGUUCGACAAUUAUAAAUACAUUAUGAUUUAAUUGUCUUAAGCUUGCCAACCACGUCGAGGUCGAAGAUCACUAGUAAGGUUUUUUUUAUUUUCUUUUUUUUUCUUUUUUUCCCCUGUUUUUUUUUUUUUUUAAACUACCACUAUCAUCGCAUACGGAAUCUAAGUACACAACCCUUUAUUUCACCUGGUAGAGUUAUUACAAAAACACAAAAUUAAUAAGAAUAUACAUAUUUACAUUGAAUAACAG
RNAcentral lists this long non-coding RNA (258 nucleotides) under Mytilus galloprovincialis (Mediterranean mussel). Lineage: Eukaryota; Metazoa; Mollusca; Bivalvia; Mytilida; Mytilidae. The record is from RNAcentral.